GUGGGGAAUCUUGCGCAAUGGGCGAAUGCCUGACGCAGCGACGCCGCGUGUGGGAUGAAGGUCCUCGGAUCGUAAACCACUGUCGGGAGGGACGAAUGCCCGGGGCUAACUACCGCCGGGAGUGACGGUACCUCCAAAGGAAGCACCGGCUAACUCUGUGCCAGCAGCCGCGGUAAUACAGAGGGUGCGAGCGUUGUCCGGAAUCACUGGGCGUAAAGGGCGCGUAGGCGGCUGGGUAAGCCGCGUGUGAAAGCCCGGGGCUCAACCCCGGAACGGCACGCGGGACUGUCCGGCUCGAGCAUGGUAGAGGCGAGUGGAAUUCCUGGUGUAGCGGUGGAAUGCGUAGAGAUCAGGAAGAACACCGGUGGCGAAGGCGGCUCGCUGGGCCAUUGCUGACGCUGAGGCGCGAAAGCGUGGGGAGCAAACAGGAUUAGAAACCCGGGUAGUCC
Molecule: ribosomal RNA, 449 nt
Filed under: uncultured bacterium
Lineage: Bacteria
Description: bacterial SSU rRNA
Rfam family: Bacterial small subunit ribosomal RNA
Source: RNAcentral